CCGCAAGGACAUCUUAGAGGUGCUGCAUGGCUGUCGUCAGCUCGUGUCGUGAGAUGUUGGUUAAGUCCCGCAACGAGCGCAACCCUUGUUCCCUGUUGCCAUCACGUAAUGGUGGGCACUCUGGAGAGACUGCCGGUGACAAACCGGAGGAAGGUGGGGAUGACGUCAAGUCAGCAUGGCCUUUAUGUCCAGGGCUACACACGUGCUACAAUGGCGGAUACAAAGCGUUGCAAACUCGCGAGAGUGAGCUAAUCGCAUAAAGUCCGUCUCAGUUCGGAUUGCAGGCUGCAACUUCGCCUGCAUGAAGUUGGAAUCGCUAGUAANCCGCUGGAUCAGCAUGGCCGCGGUGAAUACGUUCCCGGGGACUUGUACACACGC
This 378-nucleotide ribosomal RNA is filed under the name uncultured soil bacterium. RNAcentral describes it as "bacterial SSU rRNA". It matches the Rfam family "Bacterial small subunit ribosomal RNA", at positions 1017 to 1393 of the family's 1533-position model. The record is from RNAcentral.